CAGUCGCCGCGGUAACACGUAGGUGGCAAGCGUUGUCCGGAAUUAUUGGGCGUAAAGGGCUCGCAGGCGGUUUCUUAAGUCUGAUGUGAAAGCCCCCGGCUCAACCGGGGAGGGUCAUUGGAAACUGGGAAACUUGAGUGCAGAAGAGGAGAGUGGAAUUCCACGUGUAGCGGUGAAAUGCGUAGAGAUGUGGAGGAACACCAGUGGCGAAGGCGACUCUCUGGUCUGUAACUGACGCUGAGGAGCGAAAGCGUGGGGAGCGAACAGGAUUAGAUACCCGCGUAGUCCCUGUCUCUUAUAC
This 301-nucleotide ribosomal RNA is filed under the name uncultured bacterium. RNAcentral describes it as "partial 16S ribosomal RNA". It matches the Rfam family "Bacterial small subunit ribosomal RNA", at positions 509 to 807 of the family's 1533-position model. The record is from RNAcentral.